RNAcentral lists this ribosomal RNA (449 nucleotides) under uncultured bacterium. Its description in RNAcentral is "partial 16S ribosomal RNA". It matches the Rfam family "Bacterial small subunit ribosomal RNA", at positions 329 to 794 of the family's 1533-position model. The record is from RNAcentral.
AUCCAGACUCCUACGGGAGGCAGCAGUGGGGGAUAUUGCACAAUGGGGGGAACCCUGAUGCAGCGACGCCGCGUGGGUGAAGGAGCGUUUCGGCGCGUAAAGCCCUAUCGGCAGGGAAGAAGGAGGACGGUACCUGACUAAGAAGCCCCGGCUAACUACGUGCCAGCAGCCGCGGUAAUACGUAGGGGGCAAGCGUUAUCCGGAAUUACUGGGUGUAAAGGGUGAGUAGGCGGCAUGGUAAGCCAGAUGUGAAAGCCUUGGGCUUAACCCGAGGAUUGCAUUUGGAACUAUCAAGCUAGAGUACAGGAGAGGAAAGCGGAAUUCCUAGUGUAGCGGUGAAAUGCGUAGAUAUUAGGAGGAACACCAGUGGCGAAGGCGGCUUACUGGACUGUAACUGACGUUGAGGCUCGAAAGCGUGGGGAGCAAACAGGAUUAGAUACCCGGGUACC